UGGCGUUUUGGUUGAGGUUUGUUUAUGGCUCCUCAGACCGCUGUGUAUUGCUAUCCUGCGGUUGUUACUGAAGUUUGUAUAACUAGAGAAGCAAGCAGUCGGCAACAUUCAUGUCUCGAGGCGGUGUCUAACUCGGUGUUACAGUGUGUUUGACCCUAAAUUAAUUUUAUGCUGGAAUAUCCCUUUAAGGAGAGUCUGAGCAAAUCUCAAAUUGAUCUCGCUGAAUUCUCACAUGACUUUCUAAACCAGGUUGUAAUGUAUAUGACUUUGUGCACACUUAUAUUUUUGUAUUUUCAAUAAAGACCAUGUGAGGCGUUUUUAGCUGUUUAAAAAACAGGCUGAAAAUAACUGAAAUUCCACUUUAUGAUCCAUAAGGGCAGAGGCGGUCAUCAGCAAACUGUAAGGAGAACUUUAUUUAUCUCCGAGGGGGAAUUCAAUACCGUACUCUUAAUCCCUGUAACCCCUGAAACGGGGUGGGAGUCAGAAAAGACAAUUUGUCAGUAUGCUGAAGAAGCAGCUUUAUUUAAUAUCUUUGGCUGUUAAAGCAAACCAGUAGCAAUGUUUUUAUCAGAAACAUGACCUAAAGGAUAGAAUCAGCAAGAAAUUAAAAGGUAUUGCUUUGUCUACAUGGGGCGGCAAAAUCAACAAGAAUGGGGAAAUUCCUCACGGGAGCUUUAACUACAAAACAGAAUAAUAUUUAAUGGUGUUGAAGUGAAUAGAAUCAUAAAUAACAGGAGUUCAUUAAAAGGUAAUUUCAGGCGUCUUGUAACUUGAGCUCUGCAGUAGGUGAGAGAUGGUUGUGGUCUGUUAUCUCAAACUUCCUUGGUUCUGGGCUUUGUGUACACUCCCUCGAGGGGAAAGCCUAAAGAGCCAAGAACUCGGAGAAAGAGGGAUGAGAGACCGAUAGAUAAGAGGUUAAUUAAUCAUCCUUCUCCAUGCAUUGAGUAGUUUAUCUGUUCCUUUAUAGAGAAACAAAUAGAGGCAAUGGGAUUUGAAAGAAUAUGAAUAUUGAUUUUUGUACCAUGAAACACUGAGAUGAAACACGUCUGGAGUGAAACAACUGUGGUGGAUGAGUUAUUCUGCUUUCUGCCAAAGUGCUGAAGGACCACAGCUUACGGGGGAGCACUUGGAGAGCCUUUCUCUCGCCUCAAGCACCAGUUGGCGGAGGGCAGGUGACCGAGGUUACAAAGAAAACAUGGUGGGUGGAGUACACAUGAUACAGAGGACUGUGGGGAGCACUUCCACUGGAGAAAAUGUGAUAAAAGGUCCGCAGGGGUACCUCACUGUUUGGAGAAACUUGAUGAAGGGUCCUCUGAGGGUGGAGAAAAUUGAAUGUGUGGGCUGACAUACAUACAGCAAUUAAUAAUCAUCUUGAGAUAAACUUUUAGUCACAUGAUAAAUCAGUCAAUAUGUUAUUUUUAGUGCAGUUUUCUGCUAUAGAUUAAUGGGUGGGUGAGUCAGACGGUAAAAGGACGAGGACUUGGGUUGAACUCCCCUGUUGAUAACCGUACCCUAUGUGUAUGGGCCGCACAGUUCCAGAAAUAUUUCUAAUCUUAACCAUGAUUUCAGAAAGUUUCAUCAUCAGUGCAUCAAAUAUUUCUGCCACAACGCUGUCUUUCAGGUGUCCCACUGCUUGUGCCCUUGAGUGUAACAAUGACAAACACACAGACAUCAGCGUUUAACUUGUGAGACCAGGCAGGUAAAGGUGCCCCCGAACACAAACAAAAGCAUGGACAGAAUCAGAAAAAAAAACUGAGUCAUGUAAACUGACAUCAAGAGCCUGAUAGGGUCAUAUUCAGGGGAAAAAAACAGAGUCUGGUUCUCGUCUGUCUUAUUCUCUUAUUCAGGUUGAUUGACAGCAUGUGACAGGAUGUGCCAACAACAGCGGCUCUGGAGCAGCAGUUUACAUUCACAACACUUUCAGGCAAGAAAUAUAAAAAUUUAACUUUUAGGGUUGUCACAUGCAGGAACACAAGAGAUUUGAAAUUUAAAAAUGUGUUUAGGUUUCUCGCAAGGGUUAGGAUUAACACUGUGAACUCCGCUGGAUUGUCAGCGAUCCCACGUGACACCAUUAAUAUUGUUUACAGUUUCUCGGGAACGACACUGUGUAUCUAUAUGGGAUGAAAAGUGUUCAAAAGCUUACCCUUUUAGCGAUCUAUCGAGGGUUUCCAGGCAUUUCUACACCUCCCACAAGGUUUACAAUCCAGCCAAAAAAGUAGGUGUUUGAUCAGAGACGUUUGAUAGUAAAUCCGCAGUAAUAUUCCGGUGAAAACAUGAUUAUUUAUCAUAUUGCUGUGAUCAAAAAAGAUCGCUAUCACAAGAUGCCGCUAAUUUCUUCUGAGUUUGACAAGCUGUUUUUGUGACACCUUUUUCUGUCAAACUUUCAACCAAUUACAUAGGCUCAUAUUCUUCUUCUAUUGUUCCCUUGACGGUAGUGUCCAAUAAGAGGCAACCAAAGAUCAACAAGAGACAAGAGAGUUCCCUGCUUGUCUGCAAAAUAAGAAAUAGUGGUCCUCAAUGCUUUGAAACAGGCAAAGAAGAGAUUAUGAGCAGUAUGAUGUGGCCCUCUGUCUCAUCCCAGACAGGAACUGCUUUAAGCUGGGGCAUAAACAACUGUAAAUAACAAAAAAACGCCUGCAAGAAUUGGUGUAAAUAUGGAAAUAGUUUCUGUUGUGUGUUUGUUCCAAUCCCAAUAUUUCUUUUCUUGAUAGUCAAGACUUAACAGAAUGAUGUGCAGGUGAGAAAAAGCUUGGUUACUGUAGAUUUAUGUGUGUUUUUGAGCGAAGUACUGUUGGUAUCAAUUUCUGUUUUGGUUUUUUGAUUGAUUUUGGUGGUUCUGAAUCUACUGUCACAUUCAUUUUAUUUAAAUUUUGCACCCAUAAACUGACAGCUGAGGUUGUCCUGAAAAAGAAAAAUAUAUUUGCUGUGCUUGAAAGGAUAGAGUUGCUACAUAGAUUUUUACAAAAAGGAAAAAAAAAAUGCAGACCAAAAUAUAGCUGGGAGUUCAAAGGGUUAAUAUUCAGCUCAACAUUCAGUUGUGUAUCCUCCGUUCCUGAAGGUCAAAAAAACUUGCGAAACCUGGAACACUUUUCUCAUUGAAAGAGAGAAAAAAACACUAGAAAAACACUAGAAUUUUCACACUAGAAGUGCAAAACUAUCGAUAAUUUUUCUAAGCUGCAGCUGGCUCUUUACACAUCAUAUAAUUAGUUCCAUUAAAUCAACACCUGCAAUCCGUUGCACAGCUGGAGAUCCUCAAUUUCUCACGAUAAAGGUGUAAUAACACCCCUUCUUCACGAUUAUGGAUAAUUGUGACGUCCUAUGCAGUCUGGCCAUAAUUGCAUUUGAUUGCGCUAACUAUUUCACUAUUUUUUUCGUGGCAGAACGACCCUCCAUUAAAGCAACAAUCGAACCAAAGAAUAUGCCUCAAGCAUCAGUUGAAGGAUAUUCAAAGUAGAAUGAGGGACCACAACAUUAGUAGAGAGGAUUAAACGACUCAAUUUUGUAACAAUGAAUUCUAAAAAUAUCCUGAUCUAAUAUUAUCUGAAUCAUUUCUGCCCAAUUAUUUCCAUUUUUUGAAGUUUUCUCCUGAAACCUGGCAAGGAGCUCUGGCUUUCCGUUGCAUGUUUGAUGCCGGCGCACAGCAAGGAUCAUAAACACAGUGCGGGGGUUAAAAGUUCAACACUCACAGCGCACUGUCUUGUCCUAUUAUCAUCAAUACCUGACGCGAGCAGCUGUGAGGCUCGAGACAGAACAUGCAUCUGUUCUAUUUUCAAACUUCAACACUCUUGAUGCUCAAGAAAAGCGGCACUCUCUUUUCACACAUUCCCUUGACUGUCACAUCCAGGUUACUGUACCAUAACUUCUUCUUUCGUGGGAACAACUUCUCCUCAGCGGUGAUGUAGUGGUUGUCUUGCUGUCGCACUUGACAGAAUCAAGUACCAUUUUUUUCUAUUCUUUCAAAAAGCUACGAAACAAAAAGACCCUUCACAGCAUAAAUAAGGUUAGGGAUAAUUAGACAUAAUUGAGUGUAAGCAGACUCCGCUGUUUCAUGUAUAGUUUCCUUAUUUUAAUUUUGCAUUGAAGAGGCAAAAAAGCCUCUCCUGAACACAGUAUUAUCCUGCCUUUACUGUGAUAUCCUACGCUAGCUUCAAAUAGGAUUCAUCAUGUCAGAUUGCUAGUGACCAGCGGCAGUAAACGCCAGCUCUGCUAGCGAGCACCGUCUGCAGCUGCCUGGACAGCUACCGCGUUGACAUUGCAGAGACUAAUAAGAGUUAUUGAUGUAACAUGUGCCACGAUAAAAGGCAAAAAUUACCUGUUCAACAAAAACUCUGCUGUCUCAGCAUCUGUUUUCAGACCCAAAUCCUGUCGGCGCUUUCUCCACCGCUCGAAGGAUGACCCGAUGUUUAUUCGUUAUUUAUUUUAUUCGUUUGUUAGAUUCCUUGCUUGGUCACAUUUCCUCUUCGUCUCUGCCCUUUCUUCUGUCCGCUUGCGUUUUCUUAGCACCUCUAGUGGUGGGGCAAGCAGAAGUGUUUUUUUUUUCCAUCCUUCUCCAUCACAGCUCCUGUAGCUAAGUUGCUACGCUACUUUUAGCUGCUCAGAUCUCCGAGGAGGGCUGGGAGAGUGGGAGGGGAUGAGUUAGAACCACAGGAGAGGGGUGUGUCGAAUACAGCGAGGUGAUUGGAUGGAGAGGCAGAGCAGGAGAUUGACCAAUAGGAGCUGUCUGGGACGGAUGGCUCCUAUUGGUCAAUGUUUUUGCAGUUGUAAUAUUUGCAGUUUUAUACAACUGCCAUGAAGCUCCCUGCAAACAAGACUUAGGACACAAGUACUGUUUAAACAACCUUACUAAGACUUUUGGUACAAGUACAAAAUACUCUGGCAUAUUUUACCUGUCUUUGGUGCUCAGUAUGAUCCUGAAAGUGUUGCUCGACCAAAUAAGUAAGUAAGUGCAGUGUAAUAUAUUCUAAAUCAAACUAAAACUACAAAUGUGUGCCCCCCAGGUCCAAGGGAAAUGUCAAACUCAGACUAAUCAAGUUUCUCAGCACUUAUACAUUCGUUCUCCUGGACAUUUCUUCACUCUGAGUAAUGAAAUCACAGCAGAUUUUUAUUGAAAUGCAAUGUGAUCAACCCCUCCCUACAAGCAACCGGAGCAAAAAUUACGUUUGCGAGCUUGCCUUGUAGGAAGUGUUAGUAACUGAUGCAAUAAUAUUUGACAAAAAACUGUAAAUCUCUGCAGGGAAAUAAAACAGGCAAGAACUAAGAGGAGGGAGUACAGAUGAGUAUUUGCAGGCUGAAAUUCAUCUGUAGAUAAAAUAGAAUUAUGUGUAAUAUUGAGCGGCCAUAGUGGAUUGUUUGGCUACAAGUCUACAUUCAAUUUGUAUGCAUAUGUAUAACUAUAAUUAUUAUCACUGACAUAUGGUAUAUAUGAGCUGUGGCUCAAAAGCAGUUAGAUACUUUAUAGCUCCACUUUUUCACUCUGAUGGUGUUAUUCGUUUUAUAUACUGAGCUCAUUAUCUGGAGGUAUCCAAAUGUAAGGGCAAUGUAAGGACAGCCUCCCUCCUCUUCAUGCAUGAUUUAGCACACAAAUUAUGAAGCUAUGGAGGCCCAGAGACGCUACAGACACUCCCCGAAGCUCAGCUGUGAUUGUGCCAGAGAGUCUUUGUGAUCUUUUAUCCCCUUCUCGUGAAAUGUCCUACAUACGAAGACUUGGGAACUCUGGAAGUAGCCCCUCUGUCUCUGUGACUUUAAAGUCUCAGUCAAGGUAGAGGCUGAUGAAACUACUGGGAGUUAUUAUUACUUUAAAUAAGCUGGUUUCCUAUGAUUCCUGUUCCACUGUGGCUACUAGACCCACACCCACAUACUCUGUCCUUGGCUGUGUGUCUCUCUGUGCUUUCCCUCUGCAGGAUUACAGGACAGCGGAAAAAAAAACUUUUCAAAAUGUGACACCUCCGGGGGUUAGUGGAGCAUUUUCCUCAUUUAUUUUGGUUUCCAUGGAUUUUAGUUCUGCACAGUUUGAUUUUUGGAUACAGUGGCAGGAAGCAAAAGGGAUGUUCUUUUUCUGUUUCUGGCUCUACAGUUUCUUUUAUUUAUAUUUGUUCGUUAAUGGAAAUUACAGUAAAAUAACCAGCAAUUUCUCUUCAAUAGACUGGUAAUGAAAAUCGAAAGUCCCCUUCCUAGAAAUAGUCAUGACCUCACUGAGAGCAGAUGGAUGAGUGGUCCCAGUAGGGGUUUGUGUCACAGUAAAAUGGACAUUUUUUUUUUGUUCACUGUAUUCAACUUCCUCCCAACUCCUUAUAAAAUGCUCUCGUCUCUGUCAUGUUUUUAUGCUAAAAGAAACUCCAUAAUGUGUAUAUUUAAAAACAGAUUUAACAGAUUACUAAUGUUUUAACUGAGGAGGGUUUUAUAAAUCAAUAUUUGGUGAAAUUACCAUUAUUUUUAAUUACAGCUUUCAUGUGUCUAAUCAUGCUCUCCACCACUUUUCACUCUGCUGGUGGGUGAUGUUAUGUUGCUCUUUCCACAAAAUGAAAGUAGCCGUCACAUCUGUCCAGCAGCCUUUACUGACUUGUGACUUCCUGCUCUUUUGAACCAUAUAUCUGUAUUUACUUGAUGUCAGUAUUUAGUGGUGUUAUUGGGCGGUGCCUCCACCCACCUUCUUUUCCAUUAUUGCAGGACCUGUGCCCCUAUGGGUUGCAGUGUGAGUUAAUUUUAAAGAAAUAUGAGGAAAAAAAGCUGGUAAGUUAUUCAAAUUCAACUUUAUAUUUCUGGCACUUUUCAGACAAAAAUGUAGUUCAAAGUGCCUCACAGAGGCUAAAAACAACAAUUAAACAACAAUGAAAUCCAACCCUCCCACCCACACUCACCCACACAUACACACACACAAGCGCACACAGAGUGAGAAUUCAAGAUAUAUUGUUAAAGAGACAUGGCCUUACACCGAGACAUUGCAUGAGGAAAGAGCUACAUUUGGGAAAUACUGGAGAUAAAAGACAAUUAAUAGAUAGAUAGAUAGAUAGAUAGAUGGUAAAAAGAAAGACUAAAACCUGAUGGACUAAAACAAGUAAAUUAAAUAAAAUGAACAAAUAAGUAAGACAUUCGCAAUAAGAAAAAUAUGAAGAGUUUAGCUAAUAAUGCAAACAAAGGGGUCACUUUUGAGUAGUUCUUUUUAAGACAUUUGAAUCUUUAUAUUAUUCAGAGAAGUAUCAUGGUUGCCAAGGAAAGUAAUCAUCCCUUACAAUUUGUAUCUCAUUUGCAAUGCAAUUAUCCGUCAACUAUCGUCAUCAAAAUGUAAACACAACACAGCCACCUCACUCUCACUCUCACUAAAUUUCAUGCCUGCUUUCUUAAAUGAGACAAGUCAGAUGCUUCUUUUUUUUUUAAUUUAAAUUACAGAUUUAGGGAGGAUUUGCAUUAGCAGCAUCACUCAUUGCCAAAGAAAAAGUCAAAAAUAGAAUGAGAGUGUUUCCUAGCAACAAUUCUCCAGCCAUUUUAAUAGCUUUAAGCAAACUCUUGUUUGACACUCUUUGCUGAACUACAGACUUGUUGCGGGGCACUUUUAAGAGAUGCACUUUCUUUGGACAACAAUCUUAAAUCACUGUGACAAAUGGUCAAAACGGUAAAUGCAAGGGCUCAUUUUUGUCCAAUGUUUUCAUUGAUGCAGAGGAUAAACAGCUGGUUUAUUAGUUUUAAAGUAGGCUGAAAGAGUUAAAUUCAUAUAUGAAAAACUUUGUUCCAAGUUAGACCAGAAUAGCCUGUACAGAAUAUAUAAUUUGUUACUUUACUGAGUCAAUACAAACACAGUGUCCAGUCCAUCUGCAUCUUCAAAUGUGCUCAUAAGGCUCUUCUCCUCUCUUACACAUUUUCUUGGACACUAGGGCGAUGACUCUCAUCACAGCUGACAUACAAGUGAUUGCGUGGAGUACCAGCAGCAAGACCAGCAUCUGACAAGGAAAUCCACACCAAGACUUUAACCUAAAAAAGAAAACAUGGGUAUUUUUCCAACAUGGGAACUUUUAAAGGGAUACUCCGGCACAAAAUUAAGUCAAACACACUGUAACACAGAGUUAGACACCACGUCGAGAGAUAUAUGUUGUUGACUGCUUGCUUCUCUAGUUAUACCAACUUUAGUAGAGAGAGCCAUGCGCUCACCCAAAAAGCCACUUUAUAGCCACAGCUAAUGCUCAGAACAGCACCUAACUUCAUCAACAGUACAUAUAGGAUCCCAGCCACAGUACUAGCCACCAAACAUCUUUUUAGCUUUACCUGAUAUCUUUAGCAAAGAGACCAAACACAACUCACCCUCUCUCUUCCAGCAGCUGCUUGUUUGUACAGAGACCUCUGAGCGAGUCCCUUAAAUGCAGCGGGGUGACGCAGCUCAAGGAAGAACAUUUAUGAUCAUUACUUUAUCAUUUCCUUGAAGUAAUAAUCACCAUAUUUAUCAUAUUUAUCAUUUUGCACUGCACACACGGUAGUUCUUCUGCCUUAGCGUCUCGGUGCAUUUCCAUGAAGAAACGUCAGCAUUUUCAUUGAAAAAAUCUUGACAGAGUGUUUCAGAAAUAUCCUCAUCUUGAGAGCGCUUUUAGGCGAUUUACCGUUGAGGUCAGCUAAAACACCAUUUCGGUCAUCAUUAGAAAACAAACUUUGUUAUAUCGAGAUAUAAGUCGUCAUAAUGAGAUAACAGUGCAUAAAAAGGAAAAAUCCAUGGCCAUUCUCGGCUUCCAUAUUUAAGUGAAGUCAAGCUGGAAAACAUAAAGCACGGAUAUACACCAGGACCUAAAGAACAGUAGCUUCUCAUCCCAAUGCAGCUCGUAUUGUUUUUGUUGACUGAUUGGCUUUCAUCAAAGCUAGCUGGACCUCAGUUUAAUCCGUUGUGUGUUUCUUUAUCUGGUUGGAUUGCUUGUAAUGUUUGCCUGAAUUUAGACCAGCUGUGUGCAUGCUGUGCCCCUCAGGGACAGAGCCGGUUUGAGCUUCACUCUUUUUAAUUGGUUGUCUGUUUUGGCAAUUUGAAGCAUAUAUUUUGUUGACCGGGUCUAAAAGAGCUUUUUGAUGCUUUUAUCUUCCUUUAUUUAUCCUGUAUAAUGAUGGAUUUAAAGGAAUAAAGGGACUAUGUUGGGGCUGUGAAAGCCACGUGUGCCUUACAUGCAGUUGUUUUGAUGGUAAUGUUGAUAUUUGUGUAAAAAUGUAACUACCUUUUACAGUUUUUAUGUCAAACAAGAUCAGAUAAAUAGAUGAGUCAGUCUAUCUGUUUGUCAAGGUCAGAAAAUGUUAGAUGACACAGAAUUGUGAUUGAACAGUACCCUAAAAGGCACUUCAUGUCACAUGGCCUCGAGCAUUUUAACUUGUUUGAUUUUUUUUCCUUUUUUCAACAUUUAUGUAACGUUCAUGUGCACCUUUUUUUGUAUCCGUGUAAUCCAAACACUGUUAAUUUGCUGGCUAAAUUGACAAAAAGAUCAAAUUAAAUUUUUAUCAGUAUUCAUGUCCAACAAUGAAUACACAUCAGUUAUUCUUUGCCUUGUAGAGCAGUAGGCACACUGAGUUCAAAGCAGUGUUCAUUCAUCCUUGUUAGAAAUGUGGAACUAAACCAAAUUUAAAGGCCGCUUAAAGCAAUCACUUAAUCUUUUGAUAAGGCUGUGAAAUCCUUGAUAGUAAUAACUGAUGUGUGUGAUAGGAUGAGUGCAGCGAAGUUGAUUUUUGAUAAAGUUUCAUUUUAAAUCUUAUGCAACAGCUGCUACAUCACUUUGAUGAUUCAUUUUAAAUUUUUUGUUGUCAUUAUUUAACGAUCAUCAUCAUUAUUCAACAUUUAUAUUGAAGAGCAAGAUAAAAAUGUGAUUGUGAUAAUGAAAUUUCAUAUACUUGAAAACCCAGGGAAACUACCGUGUUUAUUUUCCUGGUUUUCAUUUUUCUGUACGGUGUAAGAGUUGUCAUUAGGUGACAGUGAUGCUGUGGUGUAGAUGAUUUGUACAUGAUUCAGUAUCUCCAAGGUAAAUGUACAACAUGAAGAGAAUCUGUGUUGGAUUUUCACAAUUCUCUAAGCACCUGCGGCGAACAAGUCAAACACUGUAAAUAAAAUUAAUGUUUUAAUGUAAAUUCACCUGCAGAACAUUCCAACCUGGCACGCUCCACUGAAGUGACUCGAGUUUAAAAUGAAAUGUGAAUGAUAAAAUGUGCUCAGAUAGAUGCACACAUGUUCAUACGUGUGCACACGGGGGAUUGGUUGCAUUGUUGCUCUCGCAGUUGUCUUGCCCACUGAGAGACAGGAGGACAGAAAUGAGAGAUGGCCCCUGAGGAUGUGGGCUCUGAUUUAUGUGAUGUUGUAGCUUGAUUGCUCUCAAACAAGUUGCAAUUCAGCGUCUGACAGCCCCAUUCCAGUUCAGUAUAGAAUCACAGUCUGUGUUGUGUGUAUGUGUUUGGUGUAUGUGUAUGGUUCGUGUGUGCUUUGAGUGUUCUGUCUCACUGGAAUAUACAUAAUCAAGAAGGCAGCCAUCAAUGGGACUCUACUUAUGUACGGGUUUUACCGUUCAAAAUUGAAUUUGAUUUUACACAACACCCCGAAGUAGCCCAGCCCUUUAACGCCUGAAAUCACAAAUUAUGGCCAGAAAAUGCAAGUUUUUUGGAGCUGAAAUGUUUAUUUGACUUACUUCUGAAAACCCCAAAAAUCAAAAUGUCCUUAGAAUUAAACAAAUAUAUUUGUUUAUCUCGUUUGAUACAUUAGAUGUUUUUGGAAACUGAUUAACCACAAGAGGACAUUUUUGUCAUUUAUCGGACUGUAUUCAGCUGUUUUAUGAUAAUUUGUUGAUCAUAUUGAUUUGAUAGAAGUAUCAUAAAAGUAUCAAAUAUGAUACAAAAGGUAUUAAAGGGCUAGAAAUACCUUUAGUGACAUGCACAUUGAUUUGCGGUUGCACCAUUGACUUUUGCCUUUUUCAAAUUCAUCCCCAGGUCUGAAAUAUAGUAUUUAUAUGUCAAACUGUUUUUAUGACGUGAUUGAAGGUUAUUAACUGUGGGCUACUAUUAUUAGGCUAGAGUUUAUGAUAUAACAUAAACUCCUACCUCUCUAUCCAAGCCUCAGUCAAUGACAAGUUAUAACUUCAUUUUUUUCUCGAAUAACUUCAGCAACUGGAUUAUUAAAAAGCCUUUUAACUCAAGCCCUCAUUAAAAUCCAGACAAUAAAGCGCACUGUGCGUUAUGCACUGUGGACUUGAUCGAGGCCAUAGAACAACUACUGGACAUAAUCUUUAGAUUGCUUUAGGCUGUAUUCGGCUACAUUUAACAACAAAACUACACCAAUAAACUAUACCAAUAAAUUAUAGUAACACCUUUAAAUUAAUGAAUCAGUAAAUGAAUCUAAGUAUUCAUUUGCUCAUGCACUGUAGGACAACACAUCACCGCCAACCUGCUGUACUGAUAGAGAGGGAGAGGAAGAGAGAUUCUUCUCAAUAUGAACUUUUACUUUUGUUUCCAGGCUGUGGAGCUGUCUAAACAUAUCUGUGAAUGUAUGUUUCAUUUAUUGUCAUAAUCCACGUAUUUUACCAUAUAAUACUGAAAGAGUGACAGACAGACAGACAGACAUCACUAUUUCAACAUUCAAACCCAUCUAGAAAGUCAGUUUGAACUGCAGAGUCCCUUCUUUUACUCAAUGUGGUGUGAAUUUUAACUCUGCUGAAUAAAAUGACAAAAACAUUAAAGAUAUAUUCCGGCGUAAAAUUAAGUUAGGGUCAAACACACCGUAGCACUGAGUUAGACACCCCCUUGAGAGAUGAAUGUUACAGACCACUUGCUUCUCUAGUCGUACCAACUUUUGUAAUGACCGCACGAUAGCAAUACACAGCAGUCUCAGGAGCCACGUGCUUAACCAAAACUCCACUCUAUAGCCACAAAUAAUGCUCAGAACAGCACCUAACUUCAUCAACAGUACAUACAGGGUCCCAGCUAUAGUACUAGCCACCAAGCAUCUUUUUAGCUUUGCCUGAUUUCUUUAGCAAAGAGACUAAACACAACUCACCUACUCUCGUCCAGCAGCCGCUUGUUUGUACAGACACCUCAGGCCAGUCCAUUACGGACUACAGCGAGGUGACGCAGCUUAAGGAAGAACAUUUAUGAUCAUUUCUUCAUGGAAAUGCAAAUAGACCGAGACACUUAUGUAGAAGAACUACCGCGUCUGCAGUGCAAAAUGAUUAAUAUGGUGAUUACUACUUCAAGGAAAUGAUAAAGUAAUGAUCAUAAAUGUUCUUCCUUGAGCUGCGUCUCCCCACUGCACUCGGUAAUAGACUGUUCUUAGCAUUAUUUGUGGCUAUAGAGUGGCUUUUUGGUUGAAAGCAUUGCUCCUGAGACUGCUGUGUAUUGCUAUGGUACGGUCAUUACUAAAGCUGGUAUAACUAGAGAUGCAAGCAGUUGGCAACAUUCAUCUCUUGAAGGGGUGUCUAACUUAGUGUUAUGGUGUGUUUGACCUUAACUUAAUUUUACGCCGGAAUAUCCCUUUAAGAGCAACUCUUGGAAAACAGAGUUAAUUGUAAAAACACCUGUCAAUACCCAAGAUGGUACAACAAUUACACUGAGGCAGCUGCCACUGACCUUUACAUGCAAACAGACUCAGCCUUUAAUGAACACAAGACCAAAGCUCACAGACAAAGUACUUUGAGGUCUUUGGGCGUGCAGUUUGUGGUGACUUUGCUUAUGAAGUUGAGAGUAAUUAUUACCAUGUUUCAGCCUCUUGACACAGAGGAUUUGAAGGUCAGUGAAGGAGCAAGAGAAAAUCCACCUCAUGGCCCAAAAAGACAGCUUGCUCACAAUCUGGCUUUUCUCUCUCUCUCCAUUUGAAGCAAACUCCUCUGCAAGUCCCAGUGAGUUCUCUACAAAAAUUGAUACAGCAAUUUUGUAAAAGAAAUAAACUAUCGCAGGCAGUCCUGGACAAUGAAGUCAGAGCAGUACUCUAGAAAUAUGCUAAUGUGGAUGAAAGAUUACUAGUGCGGUUUCAAAGGCAAGUAAUUUGCCAACAUCCUUUUCUAGCAAAUGUGGAUCAUAAAGAACAUUUGAUAUGAAUAUUUCUUCUAUAGGAAAUGCUGAACACAGAAUAUUAAGAAACAAAAGGGGCAUUUCAGAAAGAACUCUAUCAGAUAAAGUGUAUACGGUUACCUAUUGAGCUGUAGCCAAUUUUUCAGUCCAGUAAUUGUGAUGACACUGAUUGGUCGAGGACAUCCCAAAGAUGUUGUGUGUGUGCGCUCCAUGAAGACGAAUCCAAACCUGGGUCUGUAAUUAUUGCAUCAAUGGUCUGCAUCAAAGAAAUCAGGUACAACACAGAUAUGAUUCUGUGUUGAUUGAUGCUCCAGUUGAAAUGAUCAGAUUGCACACAGAGUUGAAGUGUAACCAGCGUGCAAAACAUUCCCUGGCAGGAUGAUACGAAGAGCAUUUUAGAUUCUGGGGACUUUCAUGCACUGAUGCUCCUUCUGUGUGUGCUUUUAAGUUGUCAAAGGUAAAUGGCGUUUCCCCAAUAUCAGUAUGCAAAGUACAAGCUGUUUUUAUGGCAUUUGCAAAAGCUGCCAAUAUGAAUCUUUACUUUUUUUUCUCCAUGGAUGACUACACAAGAGAAGAUUACCAUCAAGGUUAUUGUCUUCGCUCUCAGCUAAAGAUUUAAUUGGCUGAUGGGAGAUGCAGAAAGUAGUAUUUGACAAAUUUUACAGGGAUGUGGAUCAACUUCUUCAAAGCAAACGGACUGUAGCUUGGUGAUUGAACUUACCUGAAAUAAAAGAGGCAGGACUCAAGAGGUCAGACACAAUAUUCUUAAAAACUUAGUUUCCUUAGUUGAAAGUGGUUCAUAAACAUCACCAAGAAACGUUUUCAAAGGGAUAACUUGUUUUUUGUGUGUAGUUGUAUGAUGUACUUGGCAAUUAUAAUUAUGUUAGCUACAAGGGAAGCUGGUAGGCUGGUUGUCAGAACCUUUCACUUCAUUUUCGGUUUUCAUCAAAACGGUCAUUUUCCUAUUACCAGACUUUUCUGCAGGAGUGCAUCACUGUGGCAGCAAACAGUACUUAUGCUGAGGUUCACUGAGGUUGGGAGAACAAGUCGGCCAGCUUUAAAAAUCUCUAAGGGAUGUUUGGGAGCUGAAAGUGUUGAUUCUUGCUAAGCUACAUGAUGUGGAUCACUAAAUUAACUGGAGUCCCAUCAUAAGCAUUUUUACUGGGGUUUCUUAUACUUGAGAAAGGGGAAGGAUGCAAGCCCUGGUCUUAAAUACUGAGAUUGAUGGCGGAUUAUUUAGAUUUAAAGUUAUCAUAAUGGACAUAAUGUGUUUGGAUUACAUCUUGAACUUGACUUUGAUUUUGGGGAGUCUUCGUUGUAGCGAAUAGGGAGGAAAUCGGCGAGUUUUAGCCAAUUACCGAUUAGUCCCAAAUGGGCUAAAAUUGGCCGAUUUAAUGGGCUCUAAUCUCCUCAACCACAUGCUGUAUAACAGCAUUUGUAAGGUGUUCGUUAUUUUCAUUGUUGUAUUUGUUAACUUGUACAGAAGUCUAAUCAACUCAAAGCUGUCUGCUGGCACCGGCAUGCACUGCUCCACGACUCUGAUCUGGAGGAGGCAGCAGCUUCAUCUCGAUAGCUGACUAACUUGCAAAAUGUAACCCCAGAUUGAACGUGUUUCAAAGGGAUCUUUUUGGUGCAGAUUGCACAAUGUCCCUUAUCUGAAUUUGCAGUAGCCCAUAAGCUUGUUAGGUGAUAUUUUAUGGUUGACCCCCUGCUAUUGAAAAGUAUCUCAUGCAACCCCAUGAGGACCUGGUUUGUGUCGUUGAAUGAGAAAAAGCUUUAACUUGAAGAUGGGGAAUUAAAAACCUAAAAUGCUCUAGUCAGGUUUGGUCACUGUCAAUGGGGGUAUAGAUUUUUUUUGGAUGCGAAAAUGGAGGGCUUCGACCUUUGAACAGAUUGAGAAGUCAUAGCGAAUGAACUGAUGGUGGUGGAAAAUACUCUCAUUAACAGAAAGCAAUGCCUUUAGAAGCAGCAUUAAAUGAAAGGUGUCACAUUUGCCAGGUGGUCCAAUGUUGGCCAGCUUUUUUGUAGAAUGCCAAGUUUGUGAAGUGGUGGACUAUUAAAUACCUUGGGUAUAAUACAAAAUGUGGGACACUGAGUUUGCAAAGAAUAUGUAUUGUAGUGUCAUUUAAAACAACCUUGUCUGCAAAGAUAAAGAAUUUUAACUUUGACUCAAUGGGUUUUAAUGAACAAAAAAUAAAUAAAAACAGUAAAAGAAGUUAAUUGAAAUGACAACAUAAAAAACAAGAUGAGAAUAGAGAUCUGUAUUCGUCAUCUAAGGCUGCCAAACAUGCAGCAGCCUUGCUGACAGGUCUUUAAAUGGUACAGAAACAGAAAGGUAAACUUAAGUGAGGCAGACAGAGAACAGAUGUAACAGCAGGCAGCUGUGAAGUCAUUGAUUGACAUAUCCUAACACUUUGCCAUUGUCAGGAAGGGCUUACUUUCCAAGUUAAAUAGGUUACCUUACAGAAAAGGGAAACCUGGCAGGGCUGGUUUUGCUAUCUCCAGAUCCCCGUCUGCUUAAAUCUGUGUGAAUAUAGAGACUACAAUGCAGCACCGGAGAGGACAGAGUGUGCUGGCUUGUAACCCAUGACAAA
Molecule: long non-coding RNA, 15596 nt
Filed under: Xyrichtys novacula (pearly razorfish)
Lineage: Eukaryota; Metazoa; Chordata; Actinopteri; Labriformes; Labridae
Source: RNAcentral